GACGAACGCUGGCGGCGUGCCUAAUACAUGCAAGUCGAGCGAAGCGGCGGAUGGGUGAGUAACGCGUGGGUAACAUGCCCAUAAGUCUGGGAAACCAUUUGGAAACAGAUGCUAAUACCGGAUAAUAAAGGAGGGACCUGGGAUGCAUUAGCUAGUUGGUAAGGUAACGGCUUACCAAGGCGAUGAUGCAUAGCCGGGUUGAGAGGCUGAUCGGCCACAUUGGGACUGAGACACGGCCCAAACUCCUACGGGAGGCAGCAGUAGGGAAUAUUGCACAAUGGGCGCAAGCCUGAUGCAGCCAUGCCGCGUGUAUGAAGAAGGCCUUCGGGUUGUAAAGUACUUUCAGCGGGGAGGCGUUACUCGCAGAAGAAGCACCGGCUAACUCCGUGCCAGCAGCCGCGGUAAUUC
Molecule: ribosomal RNA, 408 nt
Filed under: uncultured bacterium
Lineage: Bacteria
Description: partial 16S ribosomal RNA
Rfam family: Bacterial small subunit ribosomal RNA
Source: RNAcentral